CGUGUAGGCGGCCAGGUAAGUGAGAUGUGAAAUCCCUCGGCUCACCCGAGGACCUGCAUCUCAUACUGCCUGGCUUGAGUAUGGGAGAGGAUGAGGGAAUUCCUGGUGUAGCGGUGAAAUGCGUAGAUAUCAGGAGGAACACCGGUGGCGAAGGCGCUCAUCUGGCCCAAUACUGACGCUGAGGCGCGAAAGCUAGGGGAGCAAACG
This 207-nucleotide ribosomal RNA is filed under the name uncultured bacterium. Its description in RNAcentral is "partial 16S ribosomal RNA". It matches the Rfam family "Bacterial small subunit ribosomal RNA", at positions 568 to 774 of the family's 1533-position model. The record is from RNAcentral.